UACGGAGGGCGCGAGCGUUGUCCGGAAUCACUGGGCGUAAAGGGCGCGUAGGCGGCCUGAUAAGUAGGGGGUGAAAUCUUGCGGCUUAACCGCAAGGCUGCCUUCUAAACUGUCAGGCUAGAGCACAGUAGAGGCAGGUGGAAUUCCCGGUGUAGCGGUGGAAUGCGUAGAGAUCGGGAAGAACACCAGUGGCGAAGGCGGCUAACUGGUCCAGAUCUGACGCUGAGGUGCGAAAGCGUGGGGAGCAAACAGG
This 253-nucleotide ribosomal RNA is filed under the name uncultured bacterium. RNAcentral's name for it is "partial 16S ribosomal RNA". It matches the Rfam family "Bacterial small subunit ribosomal RNA", at positions 524 to 776 of the family's 1533-position model. The record is from RNAcentral.